RNAcentral lists this ribosomal RNA (506 nucleotides) under uncultured bacterium. Its description in RNAcentral is "partial 16S ribosomal RNA". It matches the Rfam family "Bacterial small subunit ribosomal RNA", at positions 30 to 523 of the family's 1533-position model. The record is from RNAcentral.
AUUGAACGCUGGCGGCAGGCUUAACACAUGCAAGUCGAGCGGUAACAGAGAGAAGCUUGCUUCUCUGCUGACGAGCGGCGGACGGGUGAGUAAUGCCUAGGAAUCUGCCUAGUAGUGGGGGAUAACUUGCCGAAAGGUAAGCUAAUACCGCAUACGUCCUACGGGAGAAAGGAGGGGACCUUCGGGCCUUUCGCUAUUAGAUGAGCCUAGGUCGGAUUAGUUAGUUGGUGAGGUAAUGGCUCACCAAGACCGCGAUUCGUAACUGGUCUGAGAGGAUGAUCAGUCACACUGGAACUGAGACACGGUCCAGACUCCUACGGGAGGCAGAAGUGGGGAAUAUUGGACAAUGGGAGGAACCCUGAUCCAGCCAUGCCGCGUGUGUGAAGAAGGUCUUAGGAUUGUAAAGCACUUUAAGUUGGGAGGAAGAGCAGUUAACUAAUAUUUGACUGUUUUGACGUUACCGACAGAAUAAGCACCGGCUAACUUCGUGCCAGCCGCCGCCGUAA